CUCAGUAGCGGCGAGUGAAGCGGCAAGAGCUCAGAUUUGAAAUCGUGCUUUGCGGCACGAGUUGUAGAUUGCAGGUUGGAGUCUGUGUGGAAGGCGGUGUCCAAGUCCCUUGGAACAGGGCGCCCAGGAGGGUGAGAGCCCCGUGGGAUGCCGGCGGAAGCAGUGAGGCCCUUCUGACGAGUCGAGUUGUUUGGGAAUGCAGCUCCAAGCGGGUGGUAAAUUCCAUCUAAGGCUAAAUACUGGCGAGAGACCGAUAGCGAACAAGUACUGUGAAGGAAAGAUGAAAAGCACUUUGAAAAGAGAGUGAAACAGCACGUGAAAUUGUUGAAAGGGAAGGGUAUUGCGCCCGACAUGGGGAUUGCGCACCGCUGCCUCUCGUGGGCGGCGCUCUGGGCUUUCCCUGGGCCAGCAUCGGUUCUUGCUGCAGGAGAAGGGGUUCUGGAACGUGGCUCUUCGGAGUGUUAUAGCCAGGGCCAGAUGCUGCGUGCGGGGACCGAGGACUGCGGCCGUGU
RNAcentral lists this ribosomal RNA (512 nucleotides) under Pichia kudriavzevii. Its description in RNAcentral is "eukaryotic LSU rRNA". It matches the Rfam family "Eukaryotic large subunit ribosomal RNA", at positions 79 to 602 of the family's 3401-position model. Lineage: Eukaryota; Fungi; Ascomycota; Pichiomycetes; Pichiales; Pichiaceae. The record is from RNAcentral.